AAGUCGUAACAAGGUUUCCGUAGGUGAACCUGCGGAAGGAUCAUUCUUGAAUAUCACCACUUUCCAGUGGCAACAUUUGUGAACUGUACAUUAUCCUUGUGCGGACCGGCGGAACAUCGAGUGACACGGCUAGUCGACACGGUAAACUCCGCAACGCUUUUGCCUGUCUCAUCUUUGCUUCGGCGCCGCACGUUAAGCACGUACCUCGAAAACUUGAAACUUAAUUAAAAUAUCAAAUCUAAAUACAACUUUUAGCAACGGAUCUCUAGGCUCUC
RNAcentral lists this unclassified non-coding RNA (275 nucleotides) under fungal sp. RNAcentral's name for it is "partial internal transcribed spacer region". The stretch from base 1 to 46 matches the Rfam family "Eukaryotic small subunit ribosomal RNA", at positions 1786 to 1831 of the family's 1831-position model. Lineage: Eukaryota; Fungi. The record is from RNAcentral.